This 1371-nucleotide long non-coding RNA is filed under the name Vulpes vulpes (red fox). RNAcentral's name for it is "lncRNA (ENSVVUG00000015932.1)". The record is from RNAcentral. Lineage: Eukaryota; Metazoa; Chordata; Mammalia; Carnivora; Canidae.
AUGACAGGCAUACAGAGAGAAGCAAAGACAUAGGCAGAGGGGAGCUCUGCGGGAGCUCCCUGCCAGGAGCCUGAUGCGGAACUCGAUCCCAGGACCUGAGCCAAAGGCAGACGCUCAACCACCGAGCCACCCAGGGGUCCCUGGAUUGACUCCAUUCUUAAGAAUGGUGUUUAUUACGUUGCGGAAUCCUGUGGGAACAUACCGCCAAUGGUGUAACAAAAUCAGAGGGAAAACUGGAUUUGAUUUCUAGAAAUCUGUGGCACUGCCGACCCCUCCCGAAGCACACUUUUCUGUAAAGCGAGAACUCCCAGCAGCAGAAGCGGAGCCUGCUCCCAGGCAGCGACCAGCGCUGUAGAGCACAGAGCAUCCCCAACCGCCGCCGCCCCGCCCACUGACAGUGUCUAUAAAUCCAUUUCCUGUCUUGUAAUUAUGUUUCAUGUAGUAAUUAGCCCCUUCAUAUCAAUGAAGCCAAAUUUCCAUGUGUAAUGGAGUGAAGCCUGAGUGUGUGAGACAAAUGGAAACGCAGCUUUGGCAGGUGGGGGUCUCCAAGAGCUCCCUGGGGGCAGGGAGGACCGUCCUCUGCAUGCAGAGUCCUACUGCGCAUCAGGCUCGGCGCCCGGCCCUUUGCACAGCCUAUUUCCUAUAGUCCUCACAAUGAUGUCUUUUCUGCAGAACCUUCACCUUUGCCUCCAUCGUCAGAGUGCAGCUUCUGCACCCCUCAACCCAAUCUUCCCUUCCGGAAUCGCCUCUGUACCACCCGCCCUUCACAGCCCGGAGCCAGGUAGCAUGCACGGAGCUGGCAGCAGGGUGGGCAAGAGGCUCAGAAGACAUCCCAGGGUCCCAGGAGCCCAGAGACCCCGCUGUGGGAGAAACCUUCGCGGCAUCCCCCCACAUCAAGACAGCUGCAGCUCUCACCAAGGACAGACAUUUGAAAUAGAUGGAUAUCGCCUACGUGUAUUUAUGGGGCACAGGAUCCUUCCCACCCACCUGUGUGUGUUGUAAUCUUUUUGACAGAGGAGAGGAGGACAGUUUCAGGAACUUCAAAGUGACAGCUUCGACUUGCUAAUGGAAGGUCAGCGUUUUCAACUUACCUUUGAUCACAUUUUUAACUUAUAUAGAAGAUAUAUAUCUGUGGACCAAAGAAUAUGUGUGGGUAAAGUGGAUUGGAAAAUAUCCUAAUAGCCUCAAAUCUAAGUUACAAAAAGUAAUUUCACACAUAUCUUUCCAUUAACUAUUCACGUCAACCCUGAGAGGUAGCUAGGGCAAGCAUUUUUAUUCCCAUUUUGCAGAUGAGAAAACUGAGGCCUGGUGAGGUUAAGGUAUAUGAUUUAUGUUAUAUGUUUUGUCAAUAAAGACAAACCUCAACUCCCA